This 263-nucleotide long non-coding RNA is filed under the name Olea europaea subsp. europaea. It matches the Rfam family "Bacterial small subunit ribosomal RNA", at positions 228 to 508 of the family's 1533-position model. The record is from RNAcentral. Lineage: Eukaryota; Viridiplantae; Streptophyta; Magnoliopsida; Lamiales; Oleaceae.
GGCUUGCGUCUGAUUAUUAGUUGUGAGACAUUAGCUUACCAAGGCAAUGAUCAGUAGCUGGUUCGAGAGGAUGAUUUGCCACACUGGGACUGAGACACGGCCCAGACUCCUACGGGAGGUAGCAGUGGGUAAUUUUCCAUAAUGGGCAAAAACCUGACAGAGCAAUGCUGUGUGGAGGUAGAAGGCCCACGGGUCGUGAACUUCUUUUUCCGGAGAAGAAGCAAUGAUAGUAUCUGGGGAAUAAGCAUCGAUUAGCUCUGUGC